This 2211-nucleotide ribosomal RNA is filed under the name Campylobacter coli. Its description in RNAcentral is "partial 23S ribosomal RNA". It matches the Rfam family "Bacterial large subunit ribosomal RNA", at positions 1 to 2062 of the family's 2925-position model. Lineage: Bacteria; Pseudomonadati; Campylobacterota; Epsilonproteobacteria; Campylobacterales; Campylobacteraceae. The record is from RNAcentral.
AAAAAAGGUAAGCUACUAAGAGCGAAUGGUGGAUGCCUUGACUGGUAAAGGCGAUGAAGGACGUACUAGACUGCGAUAAGCUACGGGGAGCUGUCAAGAAGCUUUGAUCCGUAGAUUUCCGAAUGGGGCAACCCAAUGUAUAGAGAUAUACAUUACCUAUAUAGGAGCGAACGAGGGGAAUUGAAACAUCUUAGUACCCUCAGGAAAAGAAAUCAAUAGAGAUUGCGUCAGUAGCGGCGAGCGAAAGCGCAAGAGGGCAAACCCAGUGCUUGCACUGGGGGUUGUAGGACUGCAAUGUGCAAGAGGUGAGUUUAGCAGAACAUUCUGGAAAGUAUAGCCAUAGAGGGUGAUAGUCCCGUAUGCGAAAAACAAACCUUAGCUAGCAGUAUCCUGAGUAGGGCGGGACACGAGAAAUCCUGUCUGAAGCUGGGUCGACCACGAUCCAACCCUAAAUACUAAUACCAGAUCGAUAGUGCACAAGUACCGUGAGGGAAAGGUGAAAAGAACUGAGGUGAUCAGAGUGAAAUAGAACCUGAAACCAUUUGCUUACAAUCAUUCAGAGCCCUAUGUAGCAAUACAGGGUGAUGGACUGCCUUUUGCAUAAUGAGCCUGCGAGUUGUGGUGUCUGGCAAGGUUAAGCAAACGCGAAGCCGUAGCGAAAGCGAGUCUGAAUAGGGCGCUUAGUCAGAUGCUGCAGACCCGAAACGAAGUGAUCUAUCCAUGAGCAAGUUGAAGCUAGUGUAAGAACUAGUGGAGGACUGAACCCAUAGGCGUUGAAAAGCCCCGGGAUGACUUGUGGAUAGGGGUGAAAGGCCAAUCAAACUUCGUGAUAGCUGGUUCUCUCCGAAAUAUAUUUAGGUAUAGCGUUGUGUCGUAAUAUAAGGGGGUAGAGCACUGAAUGGGCUAGGGCAUACACCAAUGUACCAAACCCUAUCAAACUCCGAAUACCUUAUAUGUAAUCACAGCAGUCAGGCGGCGAGUGAUAAAAUCCGUCGUCAAGAGGGAAACAACCCAGACUACCAGCUAAGGUCCCUAAAUCUUACUUAAGUGGAAAACGAUGUGAAGUUACUUAAACAACCAGGAGGUUGGCUUAGAAGCAGCCAUCCUUUAAAGAAAGCGUAAUAGCUCACUGGUCUAGUGAUUUUGCGCGGAAAAUAUAACGGGGCUAAAGUAAGUACCGAAGCUGUAGACUUGCGCACAACUUAGAUUAUUUAAGUUUAGAAUAUGAGAAACUAAGUUAUAUGUUUAGUUAUAUUUUUACUGAUUUUUAUAGAGUAAAGAUAGAAAUAAAACUUAGUAAAAUCAGUAAAAAUAUUCUUAGACUAAAGUUAAGUAGUUUAAGUUGUGUGCAAGUGGUAGGAGAGCGUUCUAUUUGCGUCGAAGGUAUACCGGUAAGGAGUGCUGGAGCGAAUAGAAGUGAGCAUGCAGGCAUGAGUAGCGAUAAUUAAUGUGAGAAUCAUUAACGCCGUAAACCCAAGGUUUCCUACGCGAUGCUCGUCAUCGUAGGGUUAGUCGGGUCCUAAGUCGAGUCCGAAAGGGGUAGACGAUGGCAAAUUGGUUAAUAUUCCAAUACCAACAUUAGUGUGCGAUGGAAGGACGCUUAGGGCUAAGGGGGCUAGCGGAUGGAAGUGCUAGUCUAAGGUCGUAGGAGGUUAUACAGGCAAAUCCGUAUAACAAUACUCCGAGAACUGAAAGGCUUUUUGAAGUCUUCGGAUGGAUAGAAGAACCCCUGAUGCCGUCGAGCCAAGAAAAGUUUCUAAGUUUAGCUAAUGUUGCCCGUACCGUAAACCGACACAGGUGGGUGGGAUGAGUAUUCUAAGGCGCGUGGAAGAACUCUCUUUAAGGAACUCUGCAAAAUAGCACCGUAUCUUCGGUAUAAGGUGUGGUUCGCUUCGUAUUAGGAUUUACUCCGAAAGCGAAGAAACUUACAACAAAGAGUCCCUCCCGACUGUUUACCAAAAACACAGCACUCUGCUAACUCGUAAGAGGAUGUAUAGGGUGUGACGCCUGCCCGGUGCUCGAAGGUUAAUUGAUGGGGUUAGCAUUAGCGAAGCUCUUGAUCGAAGCCCGAGUAAACGGCGGCCGUAACUAUAACGGUCCUAAGGUAGCGAAAUUCCUUGUCGGUUAAAUACCGACCUGCAUGAAUGGCGUAACGAGAUGGGAGCUGUCUCAAAGAGGGAUCCAGUGAAAUUGUAGUGGAGGUGAAAAUUC